CGUUGGUUGAGGAAUGAGUUAUAUGUACCACUAGGUGUAAUAUACACAGAACAGAAGAAAAUGCAUCACAGAAAAGGGAUCAAUGAGCAGAAGUAAAGGUAGUCUCCAUGACUGGAACCAGAGAUACCAGUGACAUUUCUUUAUCUUGAAAAAAUAAAGAGAAAAUAAGAGCAAACUGCUCUUGUGUGCACUAAACAAAGAUCCAAGCACUGUGUAUCUACUGUGGUGUUAAUCUGAAAUUCAGAUGUUUUAUAAUGGUACACCCUUAAAACAGAAAUCAAAUAGUGGUCUUCAGCUAAUCUCCCAUUCUUGGUGAGAAGUACCGUAGUACAGCAGCACUGUUUCACCACUGGGCUAUUUUCUUUUUCUUCACAUGCAUGCGUUCAGACACCUUUGCAGUGUGCUUCAAUAAGAGAUAUAAGAGCCUGCUCAUGCUGUUAUAGCUACUUCAUCACUUAAUUGAGCUGGUUCCAAGAACUGAGAGGGAACACAGCAAAAUGCUGAUUUCAUCCAAACAGUCUGGACAAAUUAAGAAAAACUCUGAAAUGGGUUUGAGUGAGCAUCUGCCAAAAAAAAAGCAACCUACUGGCAAGCAGCUGCCAUGGCUCAUCUACCCCACAUAUGCACAAUUCUGCAAAUAUAUAAAUUGUUCACAUUAUAAAUUUGGGGCAUUGCCUUUUGCCUUCUUCAUGGAGAAAUGAUGAUAAUUGCCUCCCAAGCACGUCCCUAGUUUUAUUUUAUUUUUAUUUUUUUUCAAAAGAGAAGAGUGGCUUUGUUAUAUAUUCAAUCUGACUCAAAAUUUCUUAGUAGUUGCUUCUUAAUGAAAUAAUCUUUUUCACUCUGUAUCAGCUAUAUACACUGUAUCAGAAAUAGUGCAGUUCAUGGGACUAAGGAAGUGAUCAUCCUCCCUGUACUUACUGUAAGUAAGGCUGCAGCUUGAGUAACAAGUUUUGUGCCUCCCAGUAUAAGAAAGACAUUGAGGCCCUGGAGCAUGUUCAGAGAAGGGCAAUGAAGCUUUGAAGCGUCUAGAGUGCAGGUCCUAUGGGGAGGGGUUUCGGGAGCUAGGAUUGUUCAGUCUGGAGAAGAAAAGGCUCAAAGGAGACCUUAUCAUUCUCUACAACUUCCUGAAAAGGGCUUGUGGUGAGGUGGGGGUCAGCCUCUUCUUCCAGGUAACAGCAAUAGGACUAGAGGGAAUGGCCUUGAGUUGAACCAGAAGAGGUUCAGAUUGGGUAUUACAGGAAAAAAUUGUUCCCACAAGAAGUUGUGAGGUAUUGCAACAGGCAGCCCAGUGAGGUGGUAGAGUCACCAUCCCUGGAGGUGUUCAGGAACCAUGAGGAUGUGGCACUGAGGGACACAGUUAGUGAGCAUGAUGUGAUGAGUUGACAAUUGGACUAGAUGAUCUUAGAGGUCUUCUCCAACUCCAACCUCAAUGAUUCUAUGGAUCUAUGUACAGAAUUAUUAAUACCUGUGAGGAAAUUGCUUUGACUGUGACCUAACCAAAGCAAUUCCAGAAAACUAAAAUGGUUGAACUGUUGGUUCCUUAAGCCGUGGAACUCCCAGUGCUGUUCUCUUGACUCUCCUUUUGUUAGAGAAGUUGCCAGCACUUGGAACACAGGAUUCUGAACUCUACGUGAGUUCAGAAGUAAAGGUGAGAAAAAGACUGGUGCGUCUCUUGGCAGAAAUGUUGUGGCUUACUGAGUCUUAUGAAGUGACUCCUUUUUAAGGGCAAAAAUAACUUUAAAGGCACCAAAUUAAGAAGACACACUAUGAACAAACUGUGGUUUGUAGAACAAUUCCUAGAAAUUCCUAUUAAAUGUGCAAAUGGAUAAAUACAUCAUCCCCUCAUUUUUAUGAAUCAAAAUUCCCAUUCUCAACUGUAUUUAUCAGCAUUUGUAUUGAUUCAAAAAAAUUUCCAUGACCCUUGAUUGGGAUUUGCCUAAAUGAAAUAAAUUUGUUAUUUUUAGUACAGCUGAUGUCACCACAACAGUGAUGUAAUGCACACAAAUUACUUUCUGUUCAGAUUGCACUUGAGCUAAACCAUCAGUCCAUGCUGGAAAUUUUAGUUGUACAGCUUCCACUGCUCAGAAUGCAGCAGAGGAAACGAAAAAAUAUCUUUGACUGAAUAUUUACCAUCAGCCUUCAGGGAAUCAUUUUUUGAAGUGGAAAUUAGAACUAGGCUACAAUUAUGUGAUUUUUACUAUCUCAUGACAUGUCACUUGGUUAUCCAAACAAUAGAGAAAACAGUGAUAUAUCUUUCAGAAUAUGUUGAAAUGACAUCAAAAAUGAAAGCCAGUAACACUACAUAGCAUCUGUAGAUUGAAGAAGGUUUCUGUCUAUAUAAAGACUUAAGAGCUGCUGGAACCCAACUUAGUGAAGUAACUGUACAGAAGAAAUCAACUGCUUAUCAAUAGAUUGUCAAAGUAAUACUAUGGUUACAGAGGAUAGAAAGGACAUUUUGAUUCUUUAAUAUUGAUUUUUGUAUUAUGAAUGUCAUAUAUUCACAGUUAAAAGGAUGGCUUAGACUGAAGUGGUUUGAAGAGACUUUAAAUCAUCAUUAGUCAGAACUGAGUUCACAUUGAUUUUCUGAUCUUUGCUGGCAGAAGCUUUCCGCUACAGACAACAAUACAAGCUUGUGGAUAGAAUCUGUAUACACAAGGCAUGUUUGAAAGCCAAGACACAAAUCAAUUUUCAUAUACAUCAAGCCUGAAGGAAUGUGUGGAGAGGAAUAGCAGCAGAGACUGCAGAAAAGGCAGAUCAGAGAGUUGGAGCUAUUAGUCUGAAUCAAAACCAAAUAUUAUCAUAUUCUGUAUGAAAUAUAAAAUUAAGAAGAGAUUUGAAUAGAUAUCAAGACAUCAGUUGCGCAAAGGCUAUAACCAUGAACCCUCCUUUACAUACAGCUCUUCAUUAGCAGCAGAAUAUCCUCAACUAUUCCGCAUAACAGUAUGGAGCAUGAUGCAGAAUUUGAUGAAGUUUGCUGAGACUAGGUGUGCUCAUGCAUCACAUGGAGAAGUGGAAAUGAGUUCUCAACCAGAAUAUCUGGGUAGUUAUUGUAUUAAUGGAAAGAAAUAUGUCUUGUCUUAUCAGCAAUGUUAUUUAACUUGAGUUUCAGAGACUGCAACACUCUUUUUGUUGUGUAAUAGACAUAGUCCUUCUGUAUAGCUUGUUGAUCUUCCCUUCUUACUGAUCUUUCAGACUGAUAUCCUCAAGGAUUACACUGGGAUACAGCAAAACCUCUGGCUACAGCUCCAAUUUCAUUUGACAUGUAUGCACUAGUGCCUGGCUGUCAAAACAAAAUAGUUCAGAUAAUGAGAACAUGCAUGAUUCUGUUUUCUACUUCUGUUUACAUAAAACCAGAUUUUAUUAAAAUAUGAACAUUUGGAGUUGUAGAGCAGUUAUCUCAAGCCAAUAUGUUUAGAGAGAUGCAUUCAUUCAAAGAAAAGCUGCAGGAUGGUUCUUCUGUUUACCGUACACAAAGACCACAUAUAGGCGAACAGGAGGAUACAAUUUCCAAAGAGGAAGAAAAAAUUAUGAUGGUGUAUAAAAUCUUAAGGAAAAUAAACAAUUUGAGAACCUAAAUAGGAUUUGUUACUUCAUCUUAAACAGAAGUAUGAUCUUUCUUUUAUUUUCCUUUAUUUUACUUUUAUUUUCCUGUAUUGGUAAAUGCAUUUGUGGGAAGCAAUAAUAGUAUCCAAGGGAAAAGAAUGGGAGUUCAUAUGCUGUUAGAAAGUCUGGUGAGGAAUGUUCUAUUUUACUGUUAGGAUAAGUUGGAAGUCGAAUAAUGAAAGGAGAAAAUUGAGAGUAAAAUUGAAAUGAUAUUUGUUCUACCAUUUUAACAGCAUUCCUAAAGAUUGCUCUCAUUUUCAAAUAGUUCCACAUAAAAUCUGAUACUAAAAUGAAAGGCAUCUUGCUUUUUACAUGACCUCUAGAGGGCCUUUCCAAUCUGAAUUACCCAAUAAUUCUAUGAUUCUCUUCAUCUGAGUAACAGAAGAUCCUUAAAAUGUUUUCAUUUCUGAAUGAUUUUGGCUUUUGAACUGUGCAUAGAUAUUUAACUUGAUCAAUGCCUGGUAAUUACCAAUACAAUCUUACCACUCAUUAUCUGUCCCACUGCACUCAAUAAAACAUGUUCAUAGAAAGCUACAUUAAUAAAAAAAAACUCAAAAUCAAUACGAAAAUAUAAUCAUUAACACAUGAAAUAGAUGUUAUUACUGUUAUUACUCUAUUAUUCCAGAGACCAAGCAGUGGAUGUGAGCACACUGAGGCAGUGGGUGGUGUCUCUCCGCAUUGGCGACACUGACAGUGGGUCACCUCGACUGGUACAGAUUUUUAUGAGCACAGCAUGCAGGAUUUUGUUCAUCACUGGCAAAAAUGCAUUGCUCGUAGUGAUGACUAUGCUGAAAAAUAGUGUUUUGUAGCUGAGAAUUUUCUCUAUUAAACAGUGUUAUUGUACUCUUUGCUUCUGUUGUCGUUUCCAUGGAAAUAAAUGGGAGGCAUUACUUUCACGGCAACAUACACAAGGUAUCUAAAUAGCAGUAAGAUUUUUCCUUUUCAUGCUACGAUCUGCAGUUGGUUUACUUAGACUGCUGGGUUCCAUAGUACAUACUUGGAUCCCAUUUUACCUUCUUUUCAUACCUUCCAAUCUUUAUAACAACACUGAGUAAAGAGAAAAAGAACAUGUUCAUUCUAGGAGCAAUAUAACCGAUCUUUUAUGAUAUUACUUUAAUGUUUGCAGCUAAAAAUUGAUAGCUGAUGCAGCAUGGUGUUCCUGUAAAAUGCCUCAUUUGUUUGAAGAAACAUACAAUUGCAGUAAGGAUUAGAGGGCAACUGAAUGGUAAACUGGUUCAUAAAAUAUCAAACACGAAAAUCUGCAGUCAGAUAUCAGGUAAGACGUAAGUCUGCUUGGUCAAACAGGUGGUUAGAAACAAAUAAAAAGGAGAGGUAGAGAGAUGCAAUGUAUUUCCCUGCAUUCUUGUUCAGUAUAGCCCUCAGCAAAGGUUUCUCCUUUUUUAUGCAAGGAAUUAUUUUAUUUAUUUAUUUAUUUAUUGACACCUAAGCAUAUUGAAAAUUCAGAUCACGCAAUAGCCAUUGCGCAUCUGAUACAGUACUGGGAGAAGGUAAGUAAACACUAACUUUAGAUAGCUGUAUAUUUCUAUGCAGCUGUCAGAUAUAUUAUCAGGGAUAGUUGUAUUAUUUAUUUUCUAUAAUGCUCAACCCAGCAUAUUGUUACUCAUUGCAAUAGGUAUAUUUUUCUAGGUUAGAGGUCAUAAUUAUCUGCAAAUCACCUGUAGUUAAAGAGCUCUAGCCUUUGUAUGGGUGAGGAUUUCUCUCCUUAAUCUGUAAUUUAAGAAAGAGCUAGCAGUGGGCCUGAAUUUGAUUUUUCCUGAAAA
Molecule: long non-coding RNA, 5384 nt
Filed under: Gallus gallus (chicken)
Lineage: Eukaryota; Metazoa; Chordata; Aves; Galliformes; Phasianidae
Description: lncRNA (ENSGALG00010003536.1)
Source: RNAcentral